This 118-nucleotide ribosomal RNA is filed under the name Lupinus angustifolius (narrow-leaved blue lupine). Lineage: Eukaryota; Viridiplantae; Streptophyta; Magnoliopsida; Fabales; Fabaceae. The record is from RNAcentral.
AGGUGCGAUCAUACCAGCACUAAUGCACCGGAUCCCAUCUGAACUCCCCAGUUAAGCGUGCUUGGGCGAGAGUAGUACUAGAAUAGGUGACCUCGGCGAAGUCCUCUUGUUGCACCUC